This is a long non-coding RNA of Betta splendens (Siamese fighting fish), 576 nucleotides long. RefSeq lists it as uncharacterized. The transcript is spliced from 3 exons. The record is from RefSeq and is a predicted model, not a curated record. NCBI's taxonomy places the organism in Eukaryota, Metazoa, Chordata, Actinopteri, Anabantiformes, Osphronemidae.
UUUAAAAGACAACAACAGGGUCCAAAGCAGGACAUGAAAGAAACAAUCUGGAGGAGGCGGAGAGGCUGAGGAGUAAUUAAGAGAGGAGAUUGUUUUUUACAGAAACACCAGGACGUGCGGCCGUUUCCAGUCUGUUUUCUGGAGAUGCCAAAGUUUAGCGACGCUGCUUCGGGCCCAUUCGGCGAAACGCAAUCACCGCGCCGCUCCAUUCACGGCUCGCAGGACGAGCGGUACAUUCAUUUGGAUUCAGCCGGCGUAAAUCAGAGAGGGAACCGAGCCAGAGAGACGUUCCAUAACCUGCUCCCCUGAGGAUAAAACCCUGAGGAAACUCGAGACGUUUCCCGACACUUUCUGUGCACGGCCGGAAAGAGGACGCUUUCCCUAAUGUCACCGAAGGAAUUUUCCCACAGCUGGAAGGAGAGGACGGCCAAGGGAUUAAUCUCUUUUACAUGUUCAGAAUGUAACAGGAUGAUGCUGAAUCCCAGAGCAUCCACCACCUCAGCGUCCUGGAGGUCACCGACAACCAUGGGCUGUUUUUUGUUCAUACUAAUAAAGUUGCAAGAGCUCAGGGGGAAA